Mirounga angustirostris (Northern elephant seal) is the source of this 2224-nucleotide long non-coding RNA. RefSeq lists it as uncharacterized. The record is from RefSeq and is a predicted model, not a curated record. Lineage: Eukaryota; Metazoa; Chordata; Mammalia; Carnivora; Phocidae. The transcript has 3 exons.
CCUCUGACCCUGGGAUGGCAUCGGUCCCAGGCGGGCUGAUGGGAGAAGAGUUAGGGCACUGGCUCCCCGCGCGGCAGUGGAUUGGGCCACGUGUGUAUCACCCACGGUUCCCCCAGCCCCUGGAGGAUGGCGGAGACACAAAGACAAAGAGACAACAGUGAGUGAGCGUUCACAGACUGUUUGGAAGCAAAUGAAGGCAAAGGGACCGACGUGAAACCAAAGUUUGGCAUAAGGGCCCGCAGAGCAGGACGGCAGCCCGGACAGAGACUAUCCCCUCCCUUCCACGGGAGUCCACGAUCCAACCUAAAUGAAGCUCCAGAAGGGUUUUUUAAAGACCGAUGAUGACUGUCUACCACGGACCGAGGAGUGGAUCAACAUCAUCCUCUGCACCUGAAGUCCAAGGAAAGAGAAAAGAUGGGAGAUGGAAAAGCCUGAGGAUGCACAGAAAUUCCUGUGGCCCCACCGCUCAGGAAAAAGCAUUGUUGACACUUUGGUGUUUCCUUCUAGUGUUUUCUCUACACUUACAGAAAUUGACCCUUUCCUUUUCACUCAUUCCCAGACUUCAGAGAUACAUAGAAAUUCCUUCAAAUUCUGGAUUACCCAUUUUAUUAAUGGUGUUAUUUGGGGCAAGAUGCUUCCUCUUGUCCAGUGUUAGAUUUCUCAUUCUGAAAAAUAGGAACGAUCAUAACCAGCCUCUUAAGAUUGCAUGAUGAUGAAGUAAAAUGAUCGCUGUGAAAAGCAUCGGACAUCACUGGGAACCCAGCAGGGACUCGUGUUUUCCAGGGAAGAGUUCAAAGAUGUGGAAAUCGACAGAAAUGCUGUGAGAAAUCUUGAAAAAGGCUUCCUGGCUGCAAGGAAUAUGCAGGUUCACUCUUGAGGACGCAAAGGCUCCCAGAGGUGUCCUGUCAGAGUCUCUGUUUCACAUGAGCUCUCCUGGAAGUCACCACACGUUGGUAACGUGUCGUUUUCCUGACACACUAUGGGGUGGCCGGGGUUAGAGCUGGGGACAGGCGCCCAAACAGUCAUGACCCCAGCGUGGCUGGCUGUGGGGCUCCCAGGCCUCUGCAUCAAAGCUGUGCUCACCAAGGGGCCAACGGGUCCUGUGAAUGUUUUCAGUUCGUGUUUUGCCUUUGUUGUUAGGAGAAGUUGUAGGCUCUGUUGGCAUUUGUGAAUCGCAGACUUUUUAGAAAUUUCUAGAACAUGGGCCUUGUGGGUCUCAAGGGCCUGCUUGACAUCUGGCUAUGAGGUGACGGCACUAGGUCACAUAGGCAGGACCCCCACAGCAGGGUACAGGUUAGAGCACCAGAAAGCUGAGGCGGGGGUCAAGGAUUCUUUCCUUCCCUCCCAGAAAUAUCAGAAUGGGCCAUGAAAGGAGUUCAUGGGCAUCUAUUUCUUCAGUCCUAUUUACUUUUAUUUUAUUAUUAUUAUUUUUUAGUCCUGUUUACUUUUUUUUUUAAGAUUUUAUUCAUUUAUUUGAGAGAGAGACAGCACGAGAGAGCACAAGCUGGGUGAGGGGCAGAGGGAGAAGCAGACUCCCCUAUGAGCAGGGAACCCGACACGGGGCUCAAUCCCAGGACCUGGAGAUCACGACCUGAGCUGAAGACAGACGCUUCACCGACUGAGCCCCCGGGGGGUGCCCCUGGAGUCUCUUCUUGUCUCUGUUGAGCAGGUCUUCCUUCUUUGGUGUGUCUGCUCUGCUUGGUUCUCAUCAUCAUGGUGCUCAUGGUUGCUUCUACCUGUAAUAGAGCCAUGACAGCCAAUGUUUGUAAAUCAUUCCAGAGCUUAGAGAGCUUUGGUCCCGGACAGGUGGCUUGGUCUUUCUUAAUCUGGAAAGAAUCUUUGCUGAGGGCUGUAGUUGGAUCUCAAGGAAAGAGGAGUGCUGACUCGCGCACAGCUGUGUCCACAGACACUCACGGAGGACCAGCUAGGACCAGGCUCUGCCUGAUGCGGAGGGGGACAGAGUCCAGUGGGAAUUCCUGCUUCCUUAGAGCAACCCCAGCUGACCCAAAUAACAAGCUCUAGUUCCAGUGCUAACUAGUUGUUACUAACUAGCAUGUGCCCUUGGCAAGCCGCAUCCCCUCUUGGGGCUUCAGGAACCCUCCGAGGAGCGAGAAGCUGGACUGGACAACACAGGUGGCUCCCCUCCGUCUCUCCCAAAGUCCAUCCAGUUAAUAAAGGCCAUGGCCGGGCCAGCCUGGAGGCUGGCUCUAUUCUAGGUCAUCUC